AGAGUUUGAUCCUGGCUCAGAAUGAACGCUGGCGGCGUGCUUAACACAUGCAAGUCGCACGAGAACGCUUCAGCUUGCUGAAGCUAGUACAGUGGCGCACGGGUGAGUAACGCGUGGGUAAUCUACCUCCGAAUUGGGGAUAACAUUGCGAAAGCGAUGCUAAUACCGAAUAAUAUCUUUAAAGCCUCGGUUUUUUAGAUCAAAGGUGGCCUCUACAUGUAAGCUUCUGUUUGGAGAUGAGCCCGCGUACCAUUAGCUUGUUGGUAGGGUAAUGGCCUACCAAGGCAACGAUGGUUAGCUGGUCUGAGAGGAUGAUCAGCCACACUGGAACUGACACACGGUCCAGACUCCUACGGGAGGCAGCAGUGAGGAAUUUUGCGCAAUGGGGGAAACCCUGACGCAGCAACGCCGCGUGAGUGAUGAAGGCUUUCGGGUCGUAAAGCUCUGUCAAGUGGGAAGAACCCACAUGGUGUUAAUAUCACUAUGUGUUAACGGUACCACUAGAGAAGCACCGCUAACU
This 520-nucleotide ribosomal RNA is filed under the name uncultured bacterium. RNAcentral describes it as "bacterial SSU rRNA". It matches the Rfam family "Bacterial small subunit ribosomal RNA", at positions 8 to 502 of the family's 1533-position model. The record is from RNAcentral.